CAGUCGCCGCGGUAAUACGUAGGGUGCGAGCGUUAAUCGGAAUUACUGGGCGUAAAGCGUGCGCAGGCGGUUGUGUAAGACAGGUGUGAAAUCCCCGGGCUUAACCUGGGAACUGCGCUUGUGACUGCACAGCUAGAGUAUGGCAGAGGGGGGUGGAAUUCCACGUGUAGCAGUGAAAUGCGUAGAGAUGUGGAGGAACACCGAUGGCGAAGGCAGCCCCCUGGGCCAAUACUGACGCUCAUGCACGAAAGCGUGGGGAGCAAACAGGAUUAGAUACCCUGUAGUCCCUGUCUCUUAUACA
RNAcentral lists this ribosomal RNA (301 nucleotides) under uncultured bacterium. Its description in RNAcentral is "partial 16S ribosomal RNA". It matches the Rfam family "Bacterial small subunit ribosomal RNA", at positions 509 to 808 of the family's 1533-position model. The record is from RNAcentral.